UACGAAGGGGGCUAGCGUUGCUCGGAAUUACUGGGCGUAAAGGGCGCGUAGGCGGAUCGUUUAGUCAGAGGUGAAAGCCCAGGGCUCAACCUUGGAAUUGCCUUUGAUACUGGCUAUCUUGAGUUCGGGAGAGGUGAGUGGAAUGCCGAGUGUAGAGGUGAAAUUCGUAGAUAUUCGGCGGAACACCAGUGGCGAAGGCGACUCACUGGACCGAUACUGACGCUGAGGCGCGAAAGCGUGGGGAGCAAACAGG
This 253-nucleotide ribosomal RNA is filed under the name uncultured bacterium. RNAcentral describes it as "partial 16S ribosomal RNA". It matches the Rfam family "Bacterial small subunit ribosomal RNA", at positions 524 to 776 of the family's 1533-position model. The record is from RNAcentral.